AACUCAAAUGAAUUGACGGGGGCCCGCACAAGCGGUGGAGCAUGUGGUUUAAUUCGAUGCAACGCGAAGAACCUUACCUGGUCUUGACAUCCACGGAAGUUUUCAGAGAUGAGAAUGUGCCUUCGGGAACCGUGAGACAGGUGCUGCAUGGCUGUCGUCAGCUCGUGUUGUGAAAUGUUGGGUUAAGUCCCGCAACGAGCGCAACCCUUAUCCUUUGUUGCCAGCGGUCCGGCCGGGAACUCAAAGGAGACUGCCAGUGAUAAAGUGGAGGAAGGUGGGGAUGACGUCAAGUCAUCAUGGCCCUUACGACCAGGGCUACACACGUGCUACAAUGGCGCAUACAAAGAGAAGCGACCUCGCGAGAGCAAGCGGACCUCAUAAAGUGCGUCGUAGUCCGGAUUGGAGUCUGCAACUCGACUCCAUGAAGUCGGAAUCGCUAGUAAUCGUGGAUCAGAAUGCCACGGUGAAUACGUUCCCGGGCCUUGUACACACCGCCCGUC
RNAcentral lists this ribosomal RNA (500 nucleotides) under uncultured bacterium. RNAcentral's name for it is "bacterial SSU rRNA". It matches the Rfam family "Bacterial small subunit ribosomal RNA", at positions 898 to 1398 of the family's 1533-position model. The record is from RNAcentral.